UGUUUAAAUCAAUUCGUACCCAAUUUUUAAAAUAUCUUCUCUUUCUCACCAUCCAAAUGGUGACAUGUGUCCCUCCAACCCCUAUCCACCAAUCCUUAUCUCUCCCUCUCUCAUUCUUCACGUUCACUCUCCCUCACUCUUUUCUUCUUUUUUUUGUUUCUCAACUUGCUGCAGCUCAUCGUCACCAUUUCUUCUUCAUUCACGUGCAUCCACCGCCCAUGUUUCUCACCACACCGCCACCUUCCUCUUCUUCUCAUAAUUUUUGGUACAAUAAUAUAUCAUCUCUCUAUUUUUCUCCUAACUCUAGAAGCUAAAUCCUUCUGUGUUUAAAUCAAUUCGUACCCAAUUUUUAAAAUAUCUUCUCUUUCUCACAAUCCAAAUGGUGACAUGUGUCCCUCCAACCCCUAUCCGCCAAUCCUUAUCUCUCCCUCUCUCAUUCUUCACGUUCACUCUCCCUCACUAUUUUCUUCUUUUUUUUUUGUUUCUCAACUUGCUGCAGCUCAUCCUCACCAUUUCUUCUUCAUUCACGUGCAUCCACCGCCCAUGUUUCUCACCCCACCGCCACCUUCCUCUUCUACUCUCCUUCCGUGGACAAGCAUCACCUCCAUGGCCACCUCUCUUGGGUCAACCGUUCCUCUUUCUCCCUCUGUCCAGCGAACAAGCCACCACCGCCCCACUCUUCUCCUUAAGCAAAACGCACCAACCAUGGACAGCCACCACCUCCUCUUCGAGCUUCUCCUUUUCCAUGGACGACCAACACCAAGAGCGUCACAAGCACCUCGACAAGCUUCUUUCCAUGGCUGGAACCACCAGCCACCAACAAGAAGAGACGACGCGAAGAUACGAGGAAGAGACAACGUGAAAAUAGAGGAGUACGACGUUGAUGAUGUCGCCGUCGUCGCCUUUCAUUUAGGGUGUCAUCGUGCCUGCGUUCACAGCGAGGUUAGUACCAUUGGAACCCUUGCGACGUCAACAACAAAACCCAUGUUCCGAAUCGACGUUCUGUUGCCGCCGCCGCUUUCAAAGGUGUUUUCCGGUCAACUCUGGCGACCAUUGGAAAAAGAGAGUACACCACGACGAUCCUUGCCGCGAGGAGAGCAGUAUCCCUCAAUCAAUUUCAGUUUUUGGUAACUUUUGUUGGCGAGCUCUGCCGACCUACAAUUGGACUUUCUGGGCAAACUUUCGACUUUUUAGAGAAACGGAUAGCGCCAUUGAGUUCCUGGCCGCGAAAGAUGAAAUACCAAUACCCCUUUUGUGUCUCCGGCGACAGUUCCUCAGUCAACCACGUGGACCACGACUUUAUCCGGCGACCCUUCGCCGACAAGCUUUCAUCACUUGAGUCUUCUUUAGUCCUUGAGUAAGCGAGUUAACUUAGUUAGUGAUUGCGUUAAGUGUACUUGUGAAGGGUAUGAAGAACGUAAGCACCUUGCGUUCAAGCUACACAAUGGAGGAAGCAAGCUAACACGGGAAAUAAAGAUGUGAUUGGAUCGAAGUUGCAGCUUAGAAACAAAAGCGCUUAAGGCGAUGAAGAACCUUCGAUGUAGAUUAUCCUGUACAAGUCAGAGAUGAGGACUUGAAGAACAACGGAAGACUCGAAGGGUAGAGUUGGGUGUAUGGCUAUAGCCUUGGGAUAGAGACCUUACCAUUAUUGGUUAAAGCUUGUAUAAAGAUUUUGUGAAUUUAUAUUUGAGGUUUCGGGUA
Molecule: long non-coding RNA, 1701 nt
Organism: Lotus japonicus
Lineage: Eukaryota; Viridiplantae; Streptophyta; Magnoliopsida; Fabales; Fabaceae
Exons: 3
Source: RefSeq, a predicted model, not a curated record